This 512-nucleotide ribosomal RNA is filed under the name uncultured bacterium. RNAcentral's name for it is "bacterial SSU rRNA". It matches the Rfam family "Bacterial small subunit ribosomal RNA", at positions 28 to 526 of the family's 1533-position model. The record is from RNAcentral.
GACGAACGCUGGCGGCGUGCCUAAUACAUGCAAGUCGAGCGGACCAAAGGGAGCUUGCUCCUGGAGGUUAGCGGCGAACGGGUGAGUAACACGUGGGCAACCUGCCUGUAAGACUGGGAUAACAUCGAGAAAUCGGUGCUAAUACCGGAUAAUAAAAGAACUGCAUGGUUCUUUUUGAAAGAUGGUUUCGGCUAUCACUUACAGAUGGGCCGCGGCGCAUUAGCUAGUUGGUGAGGUAACGGCUCACCAAGGCGACGAUGCGUAGCCGACCUGAGAGGGUGAUCGGCCACACUGGGACUGAGACACGGCCCAGACUCCUACGGGAGGCAGCAGUAGGGAAUCUUCCGCAAUGGACGAAAGUCUGACGGAGCAACGCCGCGUGAGUGAUGAAGGUUUUCGGAUCGUAAAACUCUGUUGUUAGGGAAGAACAAGUGCCGUUCGAAAGGGCGGCACCUUGACGGUACCUAACGAGAAAGCCACGGCUAACUACGUGCCAGCAGCCGCGGUAAAGU